This 249-nucleotide unclassified non-coding RNA is filed under the name Hevea brasiliensis (rubber tree). Lineage: Eukaryota; Viridiplantae; Streptophyta; Magnoliopsida; Malpighiales; Euphorbiaceae. The record is from RNAcentral.
GGUCAUAACGUGGAUGAUCUUGUCUCCAUUCUUAAGGAAGUUAAGAGUACAAAAACCACUGGUCCAGUCCUCAUCCAUGUUGUCACUGAGAAAGGACGAGGCUAUCCAUAUGCUGAAAAAGCUGCUGACAAGUACCAUGGAGUCACAAAGUUUGAUCCUGCUACUGGAAAACAACAGAAACCCAAGGCUCCAACGCAGUCGUACACGACAUACUUUGCAGAGGCAUUGAUUGCAGAAGCUGAAAAGGAC